AACUUUUUGCAACGUAUCACGUGGUUCUGGCAUCGAUUAAGAACGCAGCGAAAUGCGAUAAGUAAUGUGAAUUGCAGAAUUCAGUGAAUCAUCGAAUCUUUGAACGCACAUUGCGCCCUCUGGUAUUCCGGGGGGCAUGCCUGUUCGAGCGUCAUUAUAACCACUCAAGCUCUCGCUUGGUAUUGGGGUUCGCGGUUCCGCGGCCCCUAAAAUCAGUGGCGGUGCCUGUCGGCUCUACGCGUAGUAAUACUCCUCGCGAUUGAGUCCGGUAGGUCUACUUGCCAGCAACCCCCAAUUUUUACAGGUUGACCUCGGAUCAGGUAGGGAUACCCGCUGAACUUAAGCAUAUCAAUAAGCGGAGGCU
This 364-nucleotide unclassified non-coding RNA is filed under the name uncultured Cadophora. RNAcentral describes it as "sequence contains ITS2". The stretch from base 1 to 154 matches the Rfam family "5.8S ribosomal RNA". Lineage: Eukaryota; Fungi; Ascomycota; Leotiomycetes; Helotiales. The record is from RNAcentral.